UUUGGACAAUGGGGGCAACCCUGAUCCAGCGAUCCCGCGUGUGCGAUGAAGGCCUUCGGGUUGUAAAGCACUUUUGGCAGGGAAGAAAAGGCUCUGGCUAAUACCUGGAGCUGCUGACGGUACGUGCAGAAUAAGUACCGGCGAACUACGUGCCAGCAGCCGCGGUAAUACGUAGGGGGCAAGCGUUAAGCGGAAUUACUGGGCGUAAAGCGUGCGCAGGCGGUUCGGCAAGAAGGAUGAGAAAUCCCAGGGCUUAAACUUGGAACUGCAUUCUUAACUGCCGGGCUAGAGUAUGUCAGAGGGGGGUAGAAUUCCGCGUGUAGCAGUGAAAUGCGUAGAGAUGCGAAGGAAUACCGAUGGCGAAGGCAGCCCCCUGGGAUAAUACUGACGCUCAUGCACGAAAGCGUGGGGAGCAAAC
This 418-nucleotide ribosomal RNA is filed under the name uncultured bacterium. RNAcentral's name for it is "partial 16S ribosomal RNA". It matches the Rfam family "Bacterial small subunit ribosomal RNA", at positions 363 to 773 of the family's 1533-position model. The record is from RNAcentral.